Brassica napus (rape) is the source of this 2008-nucleotide RNA transcript. RefSeq lists it as uncharacterized. The record is from RefSeq and is a predicted model, not a curated record. Lineage: Eukaryota; Viridiplantae; Streptophyta; Magnoliopsida; Brassicales; Brassicaceae. The transcript has 4 exons.
GUAAUUUAAUUUCCUCAAGAGCAAAAAAAAAGCUUGCGUCUAUAAAACCCGGUUGGUCUAUAAGUUAACGAAAUCUCAAAUCUCCUCCUACACUCCUUCGCCGUCUCUCUGGAUCGUGAAGAGCGUUUUACACUUCGAGCUUAAUCCUUAAAUUCUGCGCCGUUCCUCUCUCAAUUUCACUUCUUCACUAGAGUUUUCCCUCACUGGGCUCGCCGCUGGUAGCUGCCGAAGUUAGUCGGUUCCUCUUCGCCACGCUAUUCAAUGGAGAAAGCUUCUUCUCCGGUGCCAAAGUAAAGAACUUUCGUUGGAAGUGAAUUGAUUUUUUUGUGUGUUUCUGAGAGGGAUGCGUGUUGCCUUGGUUUACAAUGGUUCUAUUGGGUGAAGUUGUAAGAGAGUUUGAACAUGAGCAAUGGAGUUGGGGAAGGUGGAAGAGCUCAGAGCAGAGAAAAGAGAAAGCUUUUUCAAGCCAAUGAUUUCGCCUACGCCAUUGCAAGAAUGGCUGUGGCUCAGAUUUGCGAGAGUGUCGAGGUUAAUGUCUAUCAGGAAUCACAGACAACACGCGAGGGCCUUAGGUUUAGCUCUUUUCAAGAAUCUGCUCUUGAUAAGCUAGCCAGUGUAGCGGUUGAGUAUGUCCAGAGCAUUGGGAAGACUGCUCAGCUGUAUGCUAACGUAGCAGGUAGAGUAGAGGGUAAUUCUCUGGAUGUUGUUCAGGCGUUAGAGGAUUUGGGAUCUGGUGUGGGUUUCGCUGGUGUUUCGGACACUGACCGUUGUCUUGCUGAUUCCAGUGUAGUCAAGGAUGUUAUUCGUUAUACAGGAGAAGCGGAGGAGGUGCCGUUUGUUUAUGCUCUCCCUCGUUUCCCAGUUAAUAAAGAGAAAAGACUUGCUCCUAGUUUCUUUGAGGUUGGAGUAGUCCCUCCAGAAGAACACAUCCCCGUUUGGCUUCCUGCAUUUCCCGGAACCAAAUCUUGUCAUCUAUCAGAGGAAGCUAAUGCGGGUGCAAUCGAAGGAGAAGUUGCGAGUAAAGAAAAUGGGCCAUCGUUACCGAGUAUACAACGUUCUUUCAAUGGUGGUGGGUUAGAAGUACUCAAAUCUCCAAAUGAUGUUGGAAAAUCAACAGAAGGAGAGGAAGAAGUGGAAGGUAAUCCAUUUCUUACCGCACCUCUUCGAUUCGCGGAGAAGGAAGUGUCACCUGUGUUUCGUCCUCUGGAGCUUAGCAUCAACCACGUCUCUGAUAAGCAUAUGAGCAACAACCACCGCAUCCCAGUUCUUGAAUCAUCUACUCCAUCAGAUGGUAUCAACAAGGAGAACGGGUUAGCUGAAUCCGAGGAUGGAGAGAAGAAAGAUGGUGCAAGACCACAACAGACUUUGUUACGUUUCAAGAUUGGAACUCUGAAGAGACCUUCGUGUUUGGCUAUAAAGAGGAGCGUCCAGGAACAGGGGUGGUUUCAAGAAGGUGGAGACAAGAGGGAGAAGAAGUUAGGAACCGAAAGGAUUGAUUUGGGAACUGUCGACUCAGAUGUAAAAUAGGAUUUGCUGUAAACCGUGGUUUGGUACAACCUUCUGCAGUGAACCGCUGAGCUAGAAUUUCAUUAACGGUAUCGAAGACAAGUUUUCUCCUGAUUUUCUCUGUCAGGAAGAAGAACAGUCCAGGGUUGAUAGGGAGACGUGCUUGGUUCAGCUGGAUGCUUAGCUUGCUGUAUUCAAGAUCUUUCAGAAGCCCUGAUGCCAACAGUAUCUCCGAGAUGUACUUGUGGUCGCCGCUUUUGAAGUUUGCAUCUUCAUUAGGGAAGCAUUCGAGGAGAUCAGAGUCUGUCUGCGUUGGACCCUUAUUCUCAGGCAAUAGUAUGGAUCUGCAGACGCCGGUAGGCUUAUUUAUCCACAUAGAUGCUUCAGAACGUAGUUCAUCGUCCUCUGGAAAGAGAACAAAUAAAAGAUGAGAACAUUCAAACCAAAACCUUGUGAAUCCAUGUAGUUAAUUGACACUGAAAAGAUUAUUAUUCUUUUGUAA